GACGAACGCUGGCGGCGUGCCUAAUACAUGCAAGUCGAACGAGAGCGACCGGUGCUUGCACUGGUCAAUCUAGUGGCGAACGGGUGAGUAACACGUGGGUAACCUGCCCAUCAGAGGGGGAUAACAUCCGGAAACGGAUGCUAAAACCGCAUAGGUCUUCGAACCGCAUGGUUUGAAGAGGAAAAGAGGCGCAAGCUUCUGCUGAUGGAUGGACCCGCGGUGCAUUAGCUAGUUGGUGAGGUAACGGCUCACCAAGGCCGUGAUGCAUAGCCGACCUGAGAGGGUGGUCGCCCACAUUGGGACUGAGACACGGCCCAGACUCCUACGGGAGGCAGCAGUGGGGAAUCUUCCGCAAUGGACGAAAGUCUGACGGAGCAACGCCGCGUGAGCGAUGACGGCCUUCGGGUUGUAAAGCUCUGUUAAUCGGGACGAAAGGCCUUCUUGCGAAUAGUGAGAAGGAUUGACGGUACCGGAAUAGAAAGCCACGGCUAACUACGUG
Molecule: ribosomal RNA, 499 nt
Filed under: uncultured bacterium
Lineage: Bacteria
Description: partial 16S ribosomal RNA
Rfam family: Bacterial small subunit ribosomal RNA
Source: RNAcentral